Molecule: ribosomal RNA, 1089 nt
Filed under: Staphylococcus sp.
Lineage: Bacteria; Bacillati; Bacillota; Bacilli; Caryophanales; Staphylococcaceae
Description: bacterial SSU rRNA
Rfam family: Bacterial small subunit ribosomal RNA
Source: RNAcentral
AUGCAGUCGAGCGAACAGAUAAGGAGCUUGCUCCUUUGACGUUAGCGGCGGACGGGUGAGUAACACGUGGAUAACCUACCUAUAAGACUGGGAUAACUUCGGGAAACCGGAGCUAAUACCGGAUAACAUAUUGAACCGCAUGGUUCAAUAGUGAAAGGCGGCUUUGCUGUCACUUAUAGAUGGAUCCGCGCCGUAUUAGCUAGUUGGUAAGGUAACGGCUUACCAAGGCAACGAUACGUAGCCGACCUGAGAGGGUGAUCGGCCACACUGGAACUGAGACACGGUCCAGACUCCUACGGGAGGCAGCAGUAGGGAAUCUUCCGCAAUGGGCGAAAGCCUGACGGAGCAACGCCGCGUGAGUGAUGAAGGUCUUCGGAUCGUAAAACUCUGUUAUCAGGGAAGAACAAAUGUGUAAGUAACUGUGCACAUCUUGACGGUACCUGAUCAGAAAGCCACGGCUAACUACGUGCCAGCAGCCGCGGUAAUACGUAGGUGGCAAGCGUUAUCCGGAAUUAUUGGGCGUAAAGCGCGCGUAGGCGGUUUUUUAAGUCUGAUGUGAAAGCCACGGCUCAACCGUGGAGGGUCAUUGGAAACUGGAAAACUUGAGUGCAGAAGAGGAAAGUGGAAUUCCAUGUGUAGCGGUGAAAUGCGCAGAGAUAUGGAGGAACACCAGUGGCGAAGGCGACUUUCUGGUCUGUAACUGACGCUGAUGUGCGAAAGCGUGGGGAUCAAACAGGAUUAGAUACCCUGGUAGUCCACGCCGUAAACGAUGAGUGCUAAGUGUUAGGGGGUUUCCGCCCCUUAGUGCUGCAGCUAACGCAUUAAGCACUCCGCCUGGGGAGUACGACCGCAAGGUUGAAACUCAAAGGAAUUGACGGGGACCCGCACAAGCGGUGGAGCAUGUGGUUUAAUUCGAAGCAACGCGAAGAACCUUACCAAAUCUUGACAUCCUUUGACCGCUCUAGAGAUAGAGUCUUCCCCUUCGGGGGACAAAGUGACAGGUGGUGCAUGGUUGUCGUCAGCUCGUGUCGUGAGAUGUUGGGUUAAGUCCCGCAACGAGCGCAACCCUUAAGCUUAGUUGCCAUCAUU